AGAACGAACGCUGGCGGCAUGCCUAACACAUGCAAGUCGAACGAGACCUUCGGGUCUAGUGGCGCACGGGUGCGUAACGCGUGGGAACCUGCCUUGAGGUUCGGAAUAACUCCCCGAAAGGGGUGCUAAUACCGGAUAAUGUCUUCGGACCAAAGAUUUAUCGCCUUUAGAUGGGCCCGCGUUGGAUUAGCUAGUUGGUGGGGUAACGGCCUACCAAGGCGACGAUCCAUAGCUGGUCUGAGAGGAUGAUCAGCCACACUGGGACUGAGACACGGCCCAGACUCCUACGGGAGGCAGCAGUGGGGAAUAUUGGACAAUGGGCGAAAGCCUGAUCCAGCAAUGCCGCGUGAGUGAUGAAGGCCUUAGGGUUGUAAAGCUCUUUUACUGGGGAUGAUAAUGACAGUACCCAGAGAAUAAGCUCCGGCUAACUCCGCGCCAGCAGCCGC
RNAcentral lists this ribosomal RNA (446 nucleotides) under uncultured bacterium. RNAcentral's name for it is "SSU rRNA". It matches the Rfam family "Bacterial small subunit ribosomal RNA", at positions 26 to 518 of the family's 1533-position model. The record is from RNAcentral.